RNAcentral lists this ribosomal RNA (119 nucleotides) under Hordeum vulgare subsp. vulgare (domesticated barley). Lineage: Eukaryota; Viridiplantae; Streptophyta; Magnoliopsida; Poales; Poaceae. The record is from RNAcentral.
GGAUGCGAUCAUACCAGCACUAAAGCUUCGGAUCCCAUCAGAACUCUGAAGUUAAGCGUGCUUGGGCGAGAGUAGUACUAGGAUGGGUGACCUCCUGGGAAGUCCUCGUGUUGCAUUCC